GGCUGUGGCUUGGAUCCUGUGUGGCUGUGGUGUAGGCCAGAUGCUGCAGGUCCAAUUUGACCCCUAGCCUGGGAACUUCCAUAUGCUGUAGUUGUGGCCCUAAAAAUGAAAAAAUAGAUCUGUCUUAUUGUAUUCUAAUAUAUGUUACUCUUAGAUAUUCUAUGUCUAAAUAAAAGAUUCAGUGGCUUGAGAUUCACAUUAAAUAACAUCAUAUUAAAGGCAUAGGCAAGUGUCUGGCAAAUAAACUGUUUUAACAUUUUUACAGCUCAGUAUUUCCUAAAUUUAUUCCACAGAAUACAACUUCUAGGAAAUGGUGACCAUGUAAGAAUAUAUACCUCUAGGAGUUCCCGUUGUGGCGCACGGCCCAAGAAAUGGCAAAAAAAAAGAAAAAAGAAUAUAUACCUCUAGGAGUUUCCAGGUGGCUAGGGGUUAAGGAUCCAGCAUUGUCACUAUUGUGGCUUGGGUCAACUACUGUGGCACAGGUUUGAAAAAAAGACCUCUAACUACUGCGCAAAUUAGUUUGGCACAAAAUUAUAUUUUAAUCAUCAGCCUUUUCCCUCUACUCAGUAUGAUUGUUUAUGAAAAGUUAGAUAUUCCAGAUCCUUUUUCCUUCCUCUCCUUAGCCAGGGGAAUUAGUAUUGGUGAAUAUUUGAGAUUUUGUGUUGUCCUUCAUUAACCGUGCUUAGGGGCCAUCGUUUUGAAUUGGAGACGUUCCCAGGCUAGGGGUCCAAUCGGAGCUGUACCACUGGCCUACACCAGAGCCACAGCAACGCGGGAUCCGAGCCGCAUCUGCAACCUACACCACAGCUCACGGCACCGCCAGAUCGUUAACCCACUGAGCAAGGCCAGGGACCGAACCCGCAACCUCAUAGUUCCUAGUCGGAUUGUUAACCACUGCGCCACGACGGGAACUCCCACAAGAGUCUUCUGUGGACAUUUUCUCAUACUUCCAUAUGCAGACCUUUAUUCUUUUUCCCCAUCCCGUCUCCAGUUGUGACUUUCAUAUAGUUAAAUUUAUUUGCUUAAAGAGAGCUAUACAUCUAUCUUUUUUAAAAAAAUUUUUAUUAUUUUUAAAAUUUUUUAAAGAGAGCUACCAGUCGGGAGUUCCCGUUGUGGGUUGUAGCUCAGAAGUAACGAACCCGACUAGCAUCCAUGAGGAUGUGGGUUUGAUCGCUGGCCCUUCUCAGUGGGUUAAGGAUCUGGUGUGGCUGUGGCUGUGGUGUAGGCCGGCAGCUACAUAUAGCUCUGAUUCGACCCCUAGCCUGGGAACUUUCAUAUGCCACAGGUGUGGCCCUAAAAAGAGAAAAAAAGAAAAAAAAAAAAAA
This 1325-nucleotide long non-coding RNA is filed under the name Sus scrofa (pig). Its description in RNAcentral is "lncRNA (ENSSSCG00030057196.1)". The record is from RNAcentral. Lineage: Eukaryota; Metazoa; Chordata; Mammalia; Artiodactyla; Suidae.